RNAcentral lists this long non-coding RNA (428 nucleotides) under Rattus norvegicus (Norway rat). RNAcentral describes it as "long non-coding RNA NONRATT024158". Lineage: Eukaryota; Metazoa; Chordata; Mammalia; Rodentia; Muridae. The record is from RNAcentral.
UCACGAAUCCCCUUUAUAGAACGAUUUAGUGGCUGGUGGACUUUGAAGUCCCUUCCACUGACCACUAGUUGGAGCAACAUUAUUUUCUUGCAGUAUUUAAUGAUGAAGGGUUUCCAUUUAAACCAGACCUGCCCCCUGACACUCCAGCCGCCAGGUACAAAAGUGGUCGGUCUGUCUCACCUGUCUGGUACCAGGAAGAACAUGAGAGGUUUAGAGCACUCUAAGAAGCAAUCACACCCAGCUUGCUUGGAUGAGAUCCCAGAGUGGACAGGAGCCGGAACAACCGUGAUGACUGGCCUCUCCAUGUGGAUGUGGAAAUAAAUGGCGGGCUCGAGGAAAGCCAGGCCAGCUUCAUUGGGAAAGCAAGGAAUCACAACUGAAAAUGCCCCUUUCACAUUUAGCCUCUAAACACAAACAACCACAUUUUU